CCUCCCUUUCUUGGCAGGGUUGGGUUUUCCCGUACCCAGUUCUGUAAUGUGCGGAGGUAAAGAAAGUGACCCGGUGUCAUGUCUUCGGUGCCAGCAGCUUGCCCAUCUGCUGGUUCUAUCCUCAAGCACUGGGACAAAG
Small nucleolar RNA from Candoia aspera, 139 nucleotides. RefSeq annotates it as small nucleolar RNA SNORA57. The record is from RefSeq and is a predicted model, not a curated record. The transcript has a single exon. NCBI's taxonomy places the organism in Eukaryota, Metazoa, Chordata, Lepidosauria, Squamata, Candoiidae.